Molecule: ribosomal RNA, 249 nt
Filed under: uncultured Actinomycetales bacterium
Lineage: Bacteria; Bacillati; Actinomycetota; Actinomycetes; Actinomycetales
Description: partial 16S ribosomal RNA
Rfam family: Bacterial small subunit ribosomal RNA
Source: RNAcentral
CGGAGGUACUCGAGUGGCGAACGGGUGAGUAACACGUGGGUGAUCUGCCCUGCACUCUGGGAUAAGCCUGGGAAACUGGGUCUAAUACCGGAUAGGACCAUGCUUUAGUGUGUGUGGUGGAAAGUUUUUUCGGUGUAGGAUGAGCCCGCGGCCUAUCAGCUUGUUGGUGGGGUAAUAGCCUACCAAGGCGGCGACGGGUAGCCGGACUGAGAGGUUGGUCGGCCACAUUGGGACUGAGAUACGGCCCAG